AAAUAUAUCUUCCCAUGUCCUGCAGGAUUUCCUCCAUUUAGACUUCUGGGUGAACCUCAGGAGGAAGGGUUUCAGCUUCAAGAUUUUAGAGCACAGUUUCAAUUCAAGUUCUCUGUACCUCCUCCAAAGGAACAGAAAUCAGGUUUAAUGGAGCCAUGGACCAUUCUCCUUGAAAUCUUCUUGUUCCUGCUGACUGCCUUGCAAGAGCUCUGUGCUCCUCAGGGAACCUCUCAGAGAUUGCUUCCCUCUGCAGAGACAUGAAAGGGGCCUCAUGGCACAUCUCAGCUACUCCAGAAAGUUGCAAGUCACUUGGGGCCCAAUGGCCUCUGCAGAAUACAGAGAAGGGCUGGCUGGGUAGAAAGCCCCCUCCUCCAGUAGUACUAUGUCUGCCUGUCUGGCUUUAGGGAGUUUCACCCAGAAUGGGACUGCGAACAGACUUAAAAAGUGGAGUGAGAGAAUGAAAGCAGUAAAUCGGGCCAACAAGCAGCACAACAUCAGAGGCUGCAGCCUGGGGUGUGAAGCCACCAUGCCAAGAGGGAGGCAACGAGAGUGAGAAAAAUGGAGUACAUGUAGCAGAAAGGGUUUCACAGCCAGAACACAGUUGAGAUUGUCACCCAUUGCUGAGUCCUCAGUGCCAACCCCUGUGUCAGGGUGGUAAGCCAGCUGGAUCCCAGACCAGAGCAGAAGGUGAGAAAAGCCAAGAGUCCUCAUUUGCUUGUCACCAGGACUGUUGUCAUAUGUGUCAAAUGGCAGAGGCUUGCUCACUUGCCUUUCUGCAUGGCACACCUUUCCUACUGGAUCAAGAGUUAUAUCUUAAAUAACAUGGAUGCUUUGAGACAAUAUAGUAAAACGUUAGUUCAACCAAUCAUCCUAAGAAACUUUUGGACCACUCUAAAGUUGGCAGCACAGAAUACC
This 915-nucleotide long non-coding RNA is filed under the name Marmota monax (woodchuck). The record is from RNAcentral. Lineage: Eukaryota; Metazoa; Chordata; Mammalia; Rodentia; Sciuridae.